AAACCAGCACCUCAAGUGGUCAGGAUGAUUAUUGGGCCUAAAGCAUCCGUAGCCUGCUCUGUAAGUUUUCGGUUAAAUCUGUACGCUUAACGUACAGGCUGCCGGAAAUACUGCAGAGCUAGGGAGUGGGAGAGGUAGACGGUACUCGGGAGGAAGUGGUAAAAUGCUUUGAUCUCUCGAUGACCACCUGUGGCGAAGGCGGUCUACCAGAACACGUCCGACGGUGAGGGAUGAAAGCUGGGGGAGCAAACCGGAUUAGAAACCCCGGUAGUCC
RNAcentral lists this ribosomal RNA (274 nucleotides) under uncultured bacterium. Its description in RNAcentral is "partial 16S ribosomal RNA". It matches the Rfam family "Archaeal small subunit ribosomal RNA", at positions 473 to 747 of the family's 1478-position model. The record is from RNAcentral.